This 430-nucleotide ribosomal RNA is filed under the name uncultured Desulfobacteraceae bacterium. RNAcentral's name for it is "bacterial SSU rRNA". It matches the Rfam family "Bacterial small subunit ribosomal RNA", at positions 355 to 776 of the family's 1533-position model. The record is from RNAcentral. Lineage: Bacteria; Pseudomonadati; Thermodesulfobacteriota; Desulfobacteria; Desulfobacterales; Desulfobacteraceae.
UGAGGAAUUUUGCGCAAUGGGGGAAACCCUGACGCAGCAACGCCGCGUGAGUGAUGAAGGCCUUCGGGUCGUAAAACUCUGUCAAGUGGGAAGAACCUAUGGAGGGCUAAUAUCCCUUUGUACUGACGGUACCACUGAAGGAAGCACCGGCUAACUCCGUGCCAGCAGCCGCGGUAAUACGGAGGGUGCAAGCGUUAUUCGGAUUUAUUGGGCGUAAAGGGCGCGUAGGCGGUUUUGUAAGUCAGAUGUGAAAGCCCGGGGCUCAACCCCGGAAGUGCAUUUGAUACUGCGAGGCUUGAGUAUGGGAGGGGGAAGUGGAAUUCCUGGUGUAGAGGUGAAAUUCGUAGAUAUCAGGAGGAACACCAGUGGCGAAGGCGACUUCCUGGACCAAUACUGACGCUGAUGCGCGAAGGCGUGGGGAGCAAACAGG